This 253-nucleotide ribosomal RNA is filed under the name uncultured bacterium. RNAcentral describes it as "partial 16S ribosomal RNA". It matches the Rfam family "Bacterial small subunit ribosomal RNA", at positions 524 to 776 of the family's 1533-position model. The record is from RNAcentral.
UACGUAGGGGGCAAGCGUUGUCCGGAUUUACUGGGCGUAAAGCGCGUGUAGGCGGUAUCUUAAGUCCGGGGUGAAAGGCGGAGGCUCAACCUCCGAGCUGCGCCGGAAACUGGGAGACUUGAGUGUCGGAGAGGGAAGUGGAAUUCCUGGUGUAGCGGUGAAAUGCGUAGAGAUCAGGAGGAACACCCGUGGCGAAGGCGGCUUCCUGGCCGAACACUGACGCUGAGACGCGAAAGCGUGGGGAGCGAACGGG